Podarcis lilfordi (Lilford's wall lizard) is the source of this 69-nucleotide non-coding RNA. NCBI's taxonomy places the organism in Eukaryota, Metazoa, Chordata, Lepidosauria, Squamata, Lacertidae. The record is from the annotation of a GenBank genome assembly.
GGAUAGCUCGGUUGGCAGAGCGUGAGACUCUUAAGCUCAGGGCGGUGGGUUCGAGCUCUGCGUUGGGCA